AAAGGAAUAGACGGGGGCCCGCACAAGCGGAGGAACAUGUGGUUUAAUUCGAUGAUACGCGAGGAACCUUACCCGGGUUUGAACGGAUGCUGCAUAUAUAUGAAAGUAUAUAGUCGCAAGACAGCAUUCGAGGUGCUGCAUGGUUGUCGUCAGCUCGUGCCGUGAGGUGUCGGGUUAAGUCCCAUAACGAGCGCAACCCUUGCCGACAGUUGCCAUCAGGUAAUGCUGGGGACUCUGUCGGGACAGCCGGUGUAAACCGCGAGGAAGGCGGGGAUGACGUCAAAUCAGCACGGCCCUUACAUCCGGGGCUACACACGUGUUACAAUGGACGGUACAGAGGGCAGCGAUCAGGCGACUGUCAGCGAAUCCUCAAAGCCGUUCUUAGUUCGGAUCGGAGUCUGCAACCCGACUCCGUGAAGCCGGAUUCGCUAGUAAUCGCGCAUCAGCCACGGCGCGGUGAAUACGUUCCCGGGCCUUGUACACACCGCCCGU
This 492-nucleotide ribosomal RNA is filed under the name uncultured bacterium. Its description in RNAcentral is "bacterial SSU rRNA". It matches the Rfam family "Bacterial small subunit ribosomal RNA", at positions 903 to 1397 of the family's 1533-position model. The record is from RNAcentral.